UUGAUUGCGAAUCGUUACCUUCAGUGCUGGUCGGUUUCGGCAAGUGCACGUUGGUGACUUUCAUCCAAUACCCUGUGAACCUUUGGCCUCUUGCUAGCUUUGGCCGGCAGAGGAUUUUUACACAAACUCGAAUGUAAUGAAAUUUAUUGUCGUGCGCAAGCACACUAAUGUA
Molecule: unclassified non-coding RNA, 172 nt
Filed under: uncultured Sebacina
Lineage: Eukaryota; Fungi; Basidiomycota; Agaricomycetes; Sebacinales; Sebacinaceae
Description: sequence contains ITS1
Source: RNAcentral